Non-coding RNA from Acanthosepion pharaonis, 110 nucleotides. NCBI's taxonomy places the organism in Eukaryota, Metazoa, Mollusca, Cephalopoda, Sepiida, Sepiidae. The record is from the annotation of a GenBank genome assembly.
UUACGGCCACAUCACGUUGAAACACCUGUUCUCCUACGAUCGCCGAAGUUAAGCUACGUCGAACAUGGUCAGUACCUAGAUGAGUGACUGUUUGAAAAUUCCGGGGAUUG